RNAcentral lists this ribosomal RNA (497 nucleotides) under uncultured bacterium. RNAcentral's name for it is "partial 16S ribosomal RNA". It matches the Rfam family "Bacterial small subunit ribosomal RNA", at positions 28 to 507 of the family's 1533-position model. The record is from RNAcentral.
GAUGAACGCUGGCGGCGUGCCUAAUACAUGCAAGUCGAGCGAACAGACGAGGAGCUUGCUCCUUUGACGUUAGCGGCGGACGGGUGAGUAACACGUAGGUAACCUACCUAUAAGACUGGGAUAACUUCAGGAAACCGGAGCUAAUACCGGAUAAUAUUUCGAACCGCAUGGUUCGAUAGUGAUAGAUGGCUUUGCUAUCACUUAUAGAUGGACCUGCGCCGUAUUAGCUAGUUGGUAAGGUAACGGCUUACCAAGGCAACGAUACGUAGCCGACCUGAGAGGGUGAUCGGCCACACUGGAACUGAGACACGGUCCAGACUCCUACGGGAGGCAGCAGUAGGGAAUCUUCCGCAAUGGGCGAAAGCCUGACGGAGCAACGCCGCGUGAGUGAUGAAGGUCUUCGGAUCGUAAAACUCUGUUAUUAGGGAAGAACAAACGUGUAAGUAACUGUGCACGUCUUGACGGUACCUAAUCAGAAAGCCACGGCUAACUACGUG